GAAAGGAUGGAGAAAACAAGAAAAAGGGUUCCUUAACGGUUGUUCUGAAAGUUUAUUGUCUUUGUAAAGAUUGUAUCUCCCAAAUCCUCAGCAUGGAUAAACUCGAAGGUAUAAUCAUUUUUUUAGGUUUAAGAUUUCCUUUUUUGUUACUUGGUCUUUCCUCUUUUUUUUUUUUCUUCAUUUUUUUCUCAGAUUUUUCGAUCAUUUUCAGCUUUUGUUAUUUACUCUGUAUUGCUCUGUCGUUUUCCUUCUUUUGCAGGCGUGGAGACGGUAAUUAUAGAGAGCAGCUCAAAAAAAGUGACAGUGAUAGGAGCUGUGGAACCGACAGCCAUUAAAGAGAAACUCGUGAAGAAAACCAAGAAAAAAGUUGACCUCAUUUCUCCUCAACCAAAGAAAGAUGAUAACAAAAAAGAGAAAACAGAGAAAAAACCUGACAAAGAGAAAAACAAGGAUUCUGAUAAUAAACGGGACAAAAAACCCAAAGAGGUAAAAUUUUCAUUUCAUUCUCAAAUUUUAAUCUUUCCGGCAGUCAAAUAACUGUUUUUGCAUGUUGGUUUUGAAGUGCUUUCAAAUCAACGUAUCUGUCUAAAAUUUAUUGCUUCCUUUUUGUUGUUUACGUGACACCCGAAUCGGGAUUAUCUAGAGUUAUGACACGAUAUAUAUGAGUUUGAAAUUUAAAUUCAAAUUUAUGAAAUUUUUUUAUGAUAUAAAAUUAUAAAAUUUUUAGAUUACAAUAGAUAAUAUUUCAUAGGUUCAGUGUUGGUUUUUACAUAUAAUAUUAGUAUAGUCUUCAAUUAUAUGGGAGUUAAGUGUUGUAUUGUGAAAAUCACUUUUUGAAUUUUGUAGGAGUUAAAUGCUACACGAUGAGAAUCACCUUUAAAAUCUUAAUUUUGGUGUGAUCUUGUGAUCAGUGUAUGCUUUGUGUUGGGCUUAUCAAAUAUUUGAUAUAAUUCGGUGAAUUUGUGUGUUUUUGUAUUGAGUUUAACAUAAAUGUAAAACUUUAAUAUGAGAGUUUAUAAUAACCCAAUUUCAUAUUGAGAUGCUUUGAUGAUCUGUUAUAAUAUAUAUGUAGAGACUUAAAUUUAAAUUUGUAAGGUACUUUUUAUGAGAUAAACUAUGAGACCUUCAUAUCAGAAUGGAUAAUACUUUAAAAGUUGGAUGUAUGUAUUCACAAAUGGUAUCAAAGUCAGGUUAUUAGUUUAACGCGAUAAUCUAAAGUUUUAUUAUGAUAUAUAUAUAUAUAUAUAUAUAUAUAGAGAGAGAUCUAAAUCUAAAAAUUUGUAAGAUGUUUUUUGUGAGAUAAAAUAAUGAAACAUUCAAGUCAAAAUGAAUAAUACUUAACAGGUUGGAUACGGGUCUACGUUAUGAUUAUUUAAAAUUUUGUUAUGAUAUAUAAGUUUAGAUUUAAAUUUAAAUUUGUGAGGUAUUUUUUGUAAGAUAAAAUCAUAAAAUCUUUGGAUCAAAAUGAAUAAUACUUCACAGGUUGUGUGUAAGUUUUCGUAAUUUAAGUAAAAAAAAAUAUAUUAUUUUUUAAUUUUUUCUAUUUGAAAUAAUUUAAUUUAAGUUGGUUAUUUAUUAUCAUUGUUUAGGCCUCGGUGAUGACAGUCGAUUUGAAGGUGCAGCUGAAAUGCCAAUGCCAGGGAUGCAUUGAUAAGAUUAGCAAAAUUGUCGAUAAAACCAAAGGUAUUGACUUUAUCAUUGCAUUAGCUAGCAUAGAUUUUUAUUGUUCCCUUACUCCAACGGCGUUGAAAUCUUGUUUUAGUUUUUGACUUUUUAAAUUUUUGAUGGCUUUACAGGAGUGCAUGGCUUCAAAAUAGACAAGGAGAAAGAGCUGAUAACAGUUAAGGGGACUAUGGAUGUUAAGGCCUUGGCUGAUGCUUUGAAGGACAAACUCAAGAAUGUUGAGAUUGUGCCACCUAAGAAAAAGAAAGAUGGCAACAAUGAGGGUGGCAAGAAUGGCGACAACAACAACAAGAAGAAGAACAAAGGUGGCAAUGGUGGUGGAGAGGGUGGAAAUAAGGUUAAUGCUAGUGCUAAUAGCAUUAGAGAUAUAAAUGACAUAUCAAUACUUCCAAAUUAUUCGAAUUCAAUUAGGAUAAAAUUUGAAUUUGGUUCGAUCAUUUUUGAGUCAAGCUCUAAAGUUCAAAAAUUUUAAUUCUCGACUCGAGUGAAUAGUUUUCGAAUGUAAUCUAACUUUUAUAUUUUUAUUUGUAAUAUUUUAAUUAGUAAUUUAUUAUGUUACCUUAAUAUAUUUAACCUAUAAAACCUUAAUUUUUUUUUCAUUUUAUUGUUUCUCUCUCAAUCCCUGUCUUUACCAUCCCACAAAAAAAUACACUAUGGUGCCCCUUCCUCUCAAUCUCUCCCAAUCCUUUUCGACGCCUAUGUAGUAGCCAACUAAACAUCUUCUUGACGUUGGAUUAGUCUUUCUCGCUCCCCUGAUCCCAAGCUAACCGUGCCCUUUUUCCUCUCACUCUCUCCCAAUCAUUUAUGGGUUAGUCCCUCCAGAUAAUUUUUUAUAACUUUUUUAGUAUUUUGGAUGCUUCUUAUGUUUCCAAACGGGACACUUUGAUAGUAAAAUUUACCAACCUUGCAAUUUGUUCUAAUGGUAUAAGGAAUUUGUAAUCCAAUGGGUCUCUAUUUUUUUUUAAUUGUUUUCACAGUCGAUGUUCUAUCAAUUUCUCAGAUGUAAUGUGAUUGAAUUUCUGUGCUUUAUCUAUUCUAAUUUAGUUUGUAUCAUACUUUUAUUCCAUAUGUUGGCUAUAUGUUAGGUGGACACCUUAGCUACAGUUUUCUUCUGUUGUAAACGUCUAUUUUAUAUUAAUAAAAGUCUUGAUUUAGAACAAAAAAACCUUAAAUUUGAGUUACCUUAUUUGAUGGGUGUAAGUAAGAGUCCAAUGUUUUAGACAUCAAAAAUGGUUUAGGAUACCAACAAGAGUCAAUCAAAAUAUUAAUUGUGUGAGCUUAAAAGUAUGAUCUCGAUUGAUGUGAUUUUUGUAUAAGUCAAAUUUUCUAUUUUAACAUAGUUUAUUCCCAACCUUGUUAACACUUUACUAACAAAAUACACCAAUCUCUUCUUUUUUUCUUUUUUCUUGACUAAUAUUGAGUUGAUAUCUUGAUCGGUUGUAGCCAUGUAUAAAUAUAAUACCUCAUUAGAUUUUGGCUUAGAGAGAAUAAGAAGGGAGGAAAUAAACUAUUUUAGCUCUUCAAAUGCUUGUUAACACUAGUUCUAGAAGAUUUUGAAAAAUGAUAUGCAUCGUUUUAUUGACCUAAAUAUGAAUCUGUUUAAGGCAGCUAUUCUCUCAAUUAAUCUUUACACCUCUGUAAUUGUGAUCGAUGUUUUUAUGUCCAAAAUAGCUUAUACCUUUUCAAGGUUUGCUUUUAUUUCCUUUUUAUUGAUCAUAUAAUCAAGAAAGUUACCCGAUGUAACAUCAUAUCGCAUUUGCUCAAGUUUAGACUCAUGUUGUAUUUGCUUAGGGUAUUGAAAGCCUCCUUCAGAUAUUUUAAGUGUUUGGUCGGGCUUUGCUUUUCACUAUUCCAUAUACAUCUCUAUAUUUUUAAAGAUCUUAUUAACCAGCCUUUAGUAAAUUGCUCUUGCAUUUUUCAAUUCAAAGGCAUUACCUUGUAACAGUACAAACCUUAAUUUUGUUAUAAAGACUAUUUUUUUACUCAUCUUCUUUUAUUAUCUUAAUAUAAUUAUAACCCAAGUAGGCGUCCAAGAAAUUGAGCAAGCCAUAUUCAACGCUAACAUCAACCAAUUGAUUUAUAUUAAGUAAAGAAAAGUUGUCUUUCAAACAGAUUCUGUUGAAAUCGGUAAAAUCAAUGCACAUUCUUCAUUUUUUACUGUACUUUUUUACCAUCACCAAUGCCUACCUAUCACCAAAUUCAAUGUGUUUACCAAUUAAACUUUUCUGGUUUGUAGUUUGCACUCAGUGUUUGCAGCCUCAUGAGGCUGACUUCUUUUAUCAUAAAAGUUUCAGAUAGAAUUUAUACCCUGUUUCUAUAAUCUGACUGAAACUUGAUUGGUGAGUAUACAUAUAUCUGAUAUCAAAAUUCUAAAGUAGCAACAAAUUAUAACAAUAAAUCUACGUGUAAGUUGCCAAAUCAGGUGAAGUAUUAUUUUCAUUUUCCAUGAACUGUGCAGCCAUAUGGGAAAAUUGCUAAGAAUAAUACUGCUAUAUAGGAUGUAUAGGAGUUAUACAAAUGAGAAACGUCAGGAUUGAGCAAUUUUGAUCUUUCAAGUAUACUAAAUGUAAAAGGAAAGGUCUCAAAGUAGGAAACCAUGAGAGAAAUGUACUUUGAAUGAUUCUGUGAAUGUGCAAGUGCAAAGCUUUGCCCACUAUGGUUUCAGCAAAAGGUUGGUAAGUGAUGACUGAGGCAAAUGAAUCACCUACCAAAUUAUUCCACGAAAUUGGCCUAUGAACCUGUGAUAUACGCCGUGACUUUUUGUAUGUCGCUAUUAGGUGUCCUGAGCCUGAAGACAUUGGUUAGCCAAUUUUGUUGCUUUCCUGGUUAGGAAAUAGCAAAAGGCUUUGUUUUUGUCCGAUUAUCAAGACAGGAUGAGCAAUGCAGCAUUUCCAGGAAUGUACACAGGCUCUUCCCAGUCCCCGUGCUGAAGUUUUUACACCUUAGUAAAAGGGACACACCAGCCACCAGGGUAGUGUGCAAAAAGGCAAUGCUUCAUGUUGGAUGUUGCCGUCAAACUUGUUGUAAGCUUUGGCACAAUUGGAUACUGUUAAAUAUUACUAACUAAAUUAUCUAAAUAAAAAAAUCAGUAAAUGGGAAAUAUGGUAAAGACAGGAUCAGGAUGAGCAAGUAGUUUUUUUUCUUUAAUCAAAUGUUUGCUUGGCAAUAUUGAGCUUCAUUAGAAAAAUCCUUGAUUUCUUUUUUCUUUGGACUAUAAAAAGGACUACAUUUUUGCCAUUGAUAUAUACUCCUAUUACUUUAGUCAAUGUUUCCGUUUUCCAAGUAGUUUCCUUGUGCGAACAUAAUCAUUUUCAAUGGAACUCAUCAUGCAGUGUAACGUGGACUUGACCCUUUUUCCUCAAGCCAAAAAGCAAAAAGCCCCUAACCUAUUUUGCAUGUGCACCUGUAAAAUCAUGACGUGGGUUGUGCGCAAGUACAUGAAUUCCAUCAUGAUGAUGGUUCAAUGUCCUAUGCAUGCAGCAGCACAACCAUGCUCUCAAUCUCCCAUUUACCUUUGUCUGAUCCCUUUGUGAAAUUAAGGGGAACUAGCAGUAUACAAAGUCACAAACAACACCAAUAACACUUGUCAAUAUCAAAUUUUGGUAAGAAUCUAAUCUUUUCAAAACUAUAGUGUUGCUAAUAGUAAUUCCAGAUUUUCUUAGUUUGCUAAUCAGGAGGAAAGUAACAUGUGUCAGCCUGUUAGUAGAAAAGAAAUAAAACAAAAAUAGAGCUUUAUAAAAUGAAGGAUUAUUCAACCUAUCUUCCAAAAAAAUCCAACCUCAUUUGAAAAAUGAAUAAAUGUUGACUAGCGAGAAAGUGGGAUUAUGUAUAAAACACUUGUCUACUUCCAACUUUCUGAAUAAGAUUCUUUAACAACGUAAAGAAAAGAAAAGAGUGAUUUAAUUUAAUGGAUGAAUGGAGGGUGUUCUUGAUUCCUUGCAAUCUCAACAUGACAAUAAGAAAAACAAAAUUACUAUAAUAUUCCAAAUAUCCAUGUGAUCAAAGGGGUCUUUUGAAUCCUUUUGAAGGAUGUGAUCAUUGCAUGAGCUCAAUCCCAUGUGAGUACAAGUAGACUAUAUCAAAAAGUGGAUUAAAGAAAAAAAAAGCUUUGUUUUUGAUGAGUAUAUAUGAAAUUUUGCCCAAGACAUAAGGAAGAGAGAAAAGAGAUAAAAAAAAUAAAGAACAAAAAUGUUUAACUUUCUUUAUUUUUGAUACUUUUAUUUUGAGAUAUAUAGCAAAUGGCUAAGACCUUUAUACAAUAUAACUUUUGAUAAAUUCAAAAUUAAUAUUACUAUUUAUUAUCCUGAUGCAUUUUUACUUUAUUCCCGAGGUGGAGUCUGCCUGCAUAUACUAGUAUAUAUUCAUCGAUACAAACUCCUUUGGUAUAUUAUAUUACGUGGAAGAAUCCAUUGGUCAUGAUGAUUCAAGAAACUUUUUGACGGGCUUUACUUGUUUGGGACUAUGUUCAGAGCAAUAAUUGCUCACUCAACUUAUUAAAAUGAAAUUGUUAUUAUUAGAUUAUGAAUUAUUGAGCUAAGAUUGAUUGAUGUGUAUAGUAAACAAACAACUUGUUCCAUGAUGUGUCGGAAUCAUGUUUUGGAAAGUAAUGCAACGAAAGAUGCUUUUUUUUGCUUUGGUGGUGGAAUUUUCCAAAGCUUAUCUUUUACCCUUUUUUCCUAAAUUCCAUCCCACCAUUGCCUGAGAAAUGUCCUUCAAUUGUAUGUUGGUAGGGUUUAGCUCAACUUUUUUUUUUCUUAUUUUUUAUCUUGGGGUGUGACCUGUCCGGUUGAAUUUUAAUUUUGGGCUUACCUUGGGUCAAAGGAGCAUCAUGAUAAGCAUGAAUUUUCUUGUGUGUCGGUCUAAUCAUCUUUGGCCAUUUAUAGAAGAAAUAGCAAGCUUAAUAAACUAAGACUAUGGAGUCAACUUGUUUAAGGUAAUCCAAAGCAUAAUUUAUCAACAUGGGAAUUCGAAGACUCACUGACGUUCAGCUAAAUAAGUGUCACUAUAACAGUUCAAAAACUAAACGAAAAAAUGCCAUUUUUAUCAUUGGAUUACAUAAGGAUUCAUAGAAUUUUAGUUUGAUCCAGAGUAAAUCAAAAACAGAGAAAGUACUAUAAAAAGAGUUUUAGUUCCAACUUCCAAGUUAAUUAAUAUAGUUGUAGUAGUUUCCCACCUGGCUUCCUCACACGUUGAACUUGAAGGCAUCUGAUUCUAUCGUUACUUCUUCAUCCACUGCUCAUGAUGACAAGACAAUGAGAGACCCAAAUAGCUGUACCCAAAUGGGCUUUGCCAACAAUUUAAUAGUGCUCCUUAAAAAUGUGAAGCACAGUCUUUACUCAAAUUGCUCAAUUAACUUUCCAGGCCUGGGUUUGGUUCCUGUUGGGCCAAUGAGCCCAGAAAACUUAAAGUUGGGAGUUGGGUGGGUUUCCACAAAAAUCAAGGCCACCAUUUGCCUAAAAAAUUCUUUGCUCAUGGUCAUGGGCCAUGCUCCCUCUUAAUUUUAAGCCAAGUUUCUUAGCUACUCAAAUAAUAUGAAUUUCACUGGGAUUUUCGGGGCAAGAGCAAGAGUGGUUCUAUGAAACUAUUGUAUUAAAAUUAAAGAGAAAAAAAAAAAAAAUGAAGGGUACAGUACUGUCCAAGAGAACUUAAGUGCCUUGAGUUAGGUGGUUGUGAUGGUAGUGGAGUAAUAAGGCGUGAGAACCAUCUGCUCUGCAUAAUGGACAGAUAGAAACAGCCAAGAACCUCCAAUCUCCCCCCCCCCCCCCCUCUUCCCCUUUAAACCCCACCACAUUAGUACCCCACUCUUUGCUUAGAAGUUGGACCAUUACCUUAGUCAAGCCGCCCCCCAUUACACGCGUUUAAACCAUCCACGCAUCUAUACAUGCAUCAUCCAUUGCCAUCAGCACUUCACUUUACUUUGCCAUCUCCUCUAUAAACACCCCGACUCUACUCAUUUAUAUUUCCUCCUAGUUCCACUCAUCACAAAGCCAAUUAACUUUACGGAUUUUGGCUCACAAUGGGAAAGGUCAGUUAGCAAAUACUCUCCCCUAUUUCUCUGUCUCUUUUUUGUUUUAUUUUUGGUUGCUAAUAUAUGAUAUAUAUAUAUAUAUAUAUAUGGGUUGUUCUUCGUCUAUGUUGCAGAAAAAGAAUAGAAACAAGAAAGAAGGGGAUGGAGAAAAGAACGAAGGGGUUUCCUCAGCCGUUGUUCUGAAAGUUUAUUGUCUUUGUGACGGUUGUGCCUCCCAAAUCCUCAAAUGCAUUCAUAAACUCGAAGGUAUAAUCUUUUUUUUUUUGGUUUCAUUUUUUCCACAGAUUUUUUAAGCAUUUUCAGCCUUUGUUGUUUACUCUGUUUAGCUCUGUCGUUGUUUUCCUUUAUUUGCAGGCGUGGAGACGGUAACAAUAGAGAGCAGCUCAAACAAAGUGACAGUGAUAGGAGCUGUGGAACCGACAGCUGUUAAAGAGAAACUCGUGAAGGAAACCAAGAAGAAAGUUGAUCUCAUUUCUCCUCAACCAAAGAAAGAUGAUAACAAAGAAGAGAAAACAGAGAAAAAACCUGACAAAGAGAAAAACCAGGAUUCUGAUAAUAAACCGGAUAAAAAACCCAAAGAUGUAAAAUUUUCAUUUCUCACUCUCAAAUUUUAAUUUCUUUCCGACAGUCAACUAACUGUUUUUGCAUGUUGCUUUUGAAGUGCUUUCCAAUCAACAUAUCUGCCCAAAAUUUAUUGCUUCCUUUCUUGUUGUUUUAAGUAAAAAACUAUUUUUUUCAUCUUUUCUAUUUGGAAUAAUUUAAUAAAAGCUUAUU
Molecule: long non-coding RNA, 8485 nt
Filed under: Durio zibethinus
Lineage: Eukaryota; Viridiplantae; Streptophyta; Magnoliopsida; Malvales; Malvaceae
Description: long non-coding RNA (DZIB_LNC000471)
Source: RNAcentral